CGGAAGGGAAACUGGAAUUCCAAGUGUAGGGGUGGAAUCUGUAGAUAUUUGGAAGAACACCGGUGGCGAAGGCGGGUUUCUGGCCGAUAAUUGACGCUGAGAUGCGAAAGUGUGGGGAUCGAACAGGAUUAGAUACCCUGGUAGUCCACACCGUAAACGAUGUACACUAGGUGUUGGGGUACGAACCUCAGUGCCGAAGCAAACGUGAUAAGUGUACCGCCUGGGGAGUAUGCCCGCAAGGGUGAAACUCAAAGGAAUUGACGGGGGCCCGCACAAGCGGUGGAGCAUGUGGUUUAAUUCGAUGGUACGCGAGGAACCUUACCUGGGUUUGACAUCUAGUGGAAUACCUUAGAGAUAAG
Molecule: ribosomal RNA, 359 nt
Filed under: uncultured bacterium
Lineage: Bacteria
Description: bacterial SSU rRNA
Rfam family: Bacterial small subunit ribosomal RNA
Source: RNAcentral